RNAcentral lists this long non-coding RNA (901 nucleotides) under Chloebia gouldiae (Gouldian finch). RNAcentral describes it as "Erythrura gouldiae (Gouldian finch) lncRNA (ENSEGOG00005000115.1)". Lineage: Eukaryota; Metazoa; Chordata; Aves; Passeriformes; Passeridae. The record is from RNAcentral.
CUUGGAAAUUGAGCUAAACCUUGAGAUGGCAUUGUUAUGGUACAUAUCUUCCCUUUUGCUUUCCUAUAUUUUUGAAAUACUUUUUUUAAAAAACAAAUGCAGAAGGAUUGUAUAUUUUUAGUCUUCAUGGCUCAUUUAUGAAAUCCCCAAAUGCUUCAAUUCCAUCCAAAAAUGCUGUGGGUUACAAGAGAUGGCUCCAUAUAUUGUGGUGUUAACUUAAGAUUUAUCUGAUACUACCGUGAGGUAAGAAGAUCAAAAGUGUUUUGGAGUGGGUUGAAGAAGAGGUAAUAUUUUUUUAAAAGGCAAAUAGAAAUCUUAUUCCCAGUUCUUUUGACAGACAGAAAUAGCAGAAUAUGAGAAAUUCUUUUUGGAUCUUUAAGGAGCUGGGACCUUCUUGUAUCACAUUGUCAUGAUUAAAAAUAGAAGGAUUUCUCACAGAGGAAGGGUAAGAGUUAAAAUGGAAGAAGAAAAAUCUGAAGCCUUAUCAUGUUAGACAAAAUGCAUCUUGCAAGGGAUGUAACUAGGUGCUUCAUGAUGCCUCAUGUGUCACCGCCUAUGACAUCAAGGAUCCUCUUGCCAAAAGGCAGACACCUCAAAGCAGGCUAAUAAUGUUUAUUGCAGUAAAAGAAAGCCUACUCACCCAGGAACUUCUAGUAAAGGGAGAAAAGGGCCUUCAAAGGAAGGUGUUGGUGUUUAUAUCUGUGUCUGUACGGCUGGAUUUGUAAAAGAGUUGGAAGUAUUUGCUGCAUCAUUCUAAGACUAUGUAUGCCAUGCUUGUACAGGAGCUGGAAGUAUUUGCUCCUUUAUAUUGAGAGACAUCAGCUGUGUUCAUGCCAGUCCUGAUUUAUUUUUUGACCUCCUUUAAUACAUUGCUAUUAGUGGUUGAUGUGACCUGUCUGUG